This 1283-nucleotide ribosomal RNA is filed under the name Flavobacterium sp. EP246. Its description in RNAcentral is "bacterial SSU rRNA". It matches the Rfam family "Bacterial small subunit ribosomal RNA", at positions 90 to 1383 of the family's 1533-position model. The record is from RNAcentral. Lineage: Bacteria; Pseudomonadati; Bacteroidota; Flavobacteriia; Flavobacteriales; Flavobacteriaceae.
AGAGACCGGCGCACGGGUGCGUAACGCGUAUGCAAUCUACCUUUUACAGAGGGAUAGCCCAGAGAAAUUUGGAUUAAUACCUCAUAGUAUAUAGACUCGGCAUCGAGAUUAUAUUAAAGUCACAACGGUAAAAGAUGAGCAUGCGUCCCAUUAGCUAGUUGGUAAGGUAACGGCUUACCAAGGCUACGAUGGGUAGGGGUCCUGAGAGGGAGAUCCCCCACACUGGUACUGAGACACGGACCAGACUCCUACGGGAGGCAGCAGUGAGGAAUAUUGGACAAUGGGCGCAAGCCUGAUCCAGCCAUGCCGCGUGCAGGAUGACGGUCCUAUGGAUUGUAAACUGCUUUUAUACGAGAAGAAACACUGCUACGUGUAGCAGCUUGACGGUAUCGUAAGAAUAAGGAUCGGCUAACUCCGUGCCAGCAGCCGCGGUAAUACGGAGGAUCCAAGCGUUAUCCGGAAUCAUUGGGUUUAAAGGGUCCGUAGGCGGUUUAAUAAGUCAGUGGUGAAAGCCCAUCGCUCAACGGUGGAACGGCCAUUGAUACUGUUAGACUUGAAUUAUUAGGAAGUAACUAGAAUAUGUAGUGUAGCGGUGAAAUGCUUAGAGAUUACAUGGAAUACCAAUUGCGAAGGCAGGUUACUACUAAUUGAUUGACGCUGAUGGACGAAAGCGUGGGUAGCGAACAGGAUUAGAUACCCUGGUAGUCCACGCCGUAAACGAUGGAUACUAGCUGUUGGAAGCAAUUUCAGUGGCUAAGCGAAAGUGAUAAGUAUCCCACCUGGGGAGUACGUUCGCAAGAAUGAAACUCAAAGGAAUUGACGGGGGCCCGCACAAGCGGUGGAGCAUGUGGUUUAAUUCGAUGAUACGCGAGGAACCUUACCAAGGCUUAAAUGUAGAUUGACCGGUUUGGAAACAGAUCUUUCGCAAGACAAUUUACAAGGUGCUGCAUGGUUGUCGUCAGCUCGUGCCGUGAGGUGUCAGGUUAAGUCCUAUAACGAGCGCAACCCCUGUUGUUAGUUGCCAGCGAGUCAWGUCGGGAACUCUAACAAGACUGCCAGUGCAAACUGUGAGGAAGGUGGGGAUGACGUCAAAUCAUCACGGCCCUUACGCCUUGGGCUACACACGUGCUACAAUGGCCGGUACAGAGAGCAGCCACUGGGCGACCAGGASMGAAUCUAUAAAACCGGUCACAGUUCGGAUCGGAGUCUGCAACUCGACUCCGUAAGCUGGAAUCGCUAGUMAUCGGAUUCAGCCAUGAUCCGGUGAAUCCUUCCCGGCCUUG